UAACAAAGGAAAAUGAGGCCAUCUGUAGGAAUGCCGUCUCCUCCCUGUGUGCUAUCACAGCUCAGCUUCCCUCUGCUGCUCAUGCACUGGAGGUCUGCUUUACAGUUGGGAUGACUUCUGUCAUGAUCUUGUUAGCUGAAGUUGAAAAAAGAAAUCGGAUUGGGUUACUGUAUGAAUGAGACACAGCCUGUGAACUGCAGAGUGCUGUGUAAAGCUGGGGUUGGUGAGUCCUUAGGGAACUGAUGGCACUUUAGGAUACAAAGAGACACUAGUGCUAUCAUCACAGAAAUUGAAAACAAUAAAAUCUAAGUGCUUCUGGCUGUUAAAGGUCUCAGAGGCAGUGAUUCUUGGAGUUUUGGCGCCAUUUAGACCCUUGUGCUAAAAAAGUAUUAUAAGGUAGUAUUAUUAGUAUUAUAUAGGUAGCAUUAUUAGUAUUAUACGGUAGUAUUAUAAGGUAGUAUUAUAAGGAUAUUGCAAAAGAUUGUGGAUAUUUCUGCCUCAAACAGCAAGGUAAGAGCAACAUGGCUGAAAUAAGCAGUUGUGAAGUACAUGUGUCAGGAGCCACUGAGGUUGUCUGAUUAGGUAGCUAAUUAUCUCUGUAUCUCUGUUUAUAUUACACUGCUCUUGCUGAUGCUAGCAUAACCCUCACCUAUUUCAGGUAUCUGGCUCAGGCAAUGAAAGGUGAUUUAUUACUAACUGAGUUUUGUAUAAAUCCUUCAUUGCUGUUACCCCCACUGAGUGUGUAGAGGCUCCAGGUUAUUUUGAUCCCUUUCAAACUAGUCUGAAGAUUGAAAAUCAUUGUGGAAAUGGCCUAGUUUGCACUAAUUUACAGUUUUCUUCAGGUGGGAAAAGAAGAUCAAAGACAUACAUUUGGAUGGCUUUUUUGGCACUUGUCUUUGACUGGUUUGUGCUUUGGAGGGGCAUCGCCAGUCAUGCACACUUGGAAAUAACUCCCAGGCAAAGCCAAAACCCGCACCGUGGUGAUGUGAAAGAGAGGAGGUGAUCAUCUCAGUCACUUUAAACUGCUCAUUAAUGCAAACAAGCACUACCUCAGCCUGCUUAGCCUAACCCUUCUGGGAGGUAAAUCCAUCUUCCUCUGCUUACGUGAGCCCUUUCAGGGACAAAUGGCCCCUUUGUGCAACCUCGCUGUUCCAGGGGCUUGUCAACUUCUUUACCUUGGGUAGCGUCUUGCUCCGUAUUUACUUCCAUUCACCUCAGUGGGAUUACUUGGAAAGCAACCAGUGCUGAUAUAGACAUUUUAAUCUAGCCAAAACAAGAGAGUGCUGUGGAAGUCGACAGUGUGGAGAGGAAAUAUUAAUGUUAGCAGUGUUUAUUAGUUUUUUUUCCUUAAAAUUAGUACAUAUUUCUUUAACAGAUAGAAAACAUUUCAUAUCUUGUCACCCACAUUUACUUCUUUAAAGCAAUUACAGUAUUGUUUAGACAGGUAUUUGCUUGUUUUCACUGAUAAUGUUAACUUGCCAGACAAGCAGAAAGUCAGAUAUUUACAUUUUGCCAGGGGCCAUUCAUUUAGAUCUUCUGCCAGUCAUGCAGAAAUAAGCUGCUAGGCAUUUAAGCAAGGGAAUGCAAAAGAAAACUCAAGCACUCAAAGCAGUGCUCUUCUGCUUCAGAGUCUGGAUUCACUGAAUGCAAUGAAAGGAUUUCAAAGCAGCAUCCCAUGAAGGAACAGAAAUAAACAACAGUGCUUA
RNAcentral lists this long non-coding RNA (1706 nucleotides) under Anser cygnoides (Swan goose). RNAcentral's name for it is "lncRNA (ENSACDG00005017439.1)". Lineage: Eukaryota; Metazoa; Chordata; Aves; Anseriformes; Anatidae. The record is from RNAcentral.